GUGAGGAAUAUUGGUCAAUGGGCGAGAGCCUGAACCAGCCAAGUCGCGUGAAGGAAGAAGGAUCUAUGGUUCGUAAACUUCUUUUGCAGGGGAAUAAAGUGCAGGACGUGUCCUGUUUUGUAUGUACCCUGAGAAUAAGGACCGGCUAACUCCGUGCCAGCAGCCGCGGUAAUACGGAGGGUCCGAGCGUUAUCCGGAUUUAUUGGGUUUAAAGGGUGCGUAGGCGGUUUUAUAAGUCAGCGGUGAAAUUUUGCAGCUUAACUGUAAAAAUGCCGUUGAAACUGUCGGACUUGAGUGUAAAUGAGGUAGGCGGAAUGCGUGGUGUAGCGGUGAAGUGCAUAGAUAUCACGCAGAACUCCGAUUGCGAAGGCAGCUUACUAAGCUACAACUGACACUGAAGCACGAAAGCGUGGGGAUCAAACAGGAUUAGAAACCCGGGUAGUCC
RNAcentral lists this ribosomal RNA (445 nucleotides) under uncultured bacterium. RNAcentral describes it as "partial 16S ribosomal RNA". It matches the Rfam family "Bacterial small subunit ribosomal RNA", at positions 354 to 796 of the family's 1533-position model. The record is from RNAcentral.